UACAGAGGUCCCAAGCGUUGUUCGGAUUCACUGGGCGUAAAGGGUGCGUAGGUGGUGAGGUAAGUCGGAUGUGAAAGCUCGGAGCUCAACUCCGAAAUGGCAUUGGAAACUACCUUGCUCGAGGGUUGGAGGGGGGACUGGAAUGCUUGGUGUAGCAGUGAAAUGCGUAGAUAUCAAGCGGAACACCAGUGGCGAAGGCGAGUUGCUGGGCUGACACUGACGCUGAGACGCGAAAGCGUGGGGAGCAAACAGG
Molecule: ribosomal RNA, 253 nt
Filed under: uncultured prokaryote
Description: partial 16S ribosomal RNA
Rfam family: Bacterial small subunit ribosomal RNA
Source: RNAcentral